RNAcentral lists this ribosomal RNA (439 nucleotides) under uncultured bacterium. Its description in RNAcentral is "partial 16S ribosomal RNA". It matches the Rfam family "Bacterial small subunit ribosomal RNA", at positions 339 to 795 of the family's 1533-position model. The record is from RNAcentral.
CUACGAGUGGCUGCAGUGAGGAAUAUUGCACAAUGGGGGGAACCCUGAUGCAGCAACGCCGCGUGGAGGAUGACGCAUUUCGGUGUGUAAACUCCUUUUAUAUGUCAAGAAAAUGACGGUAGCAUAUGAAUAAGCACCGGCUAACUCCGUGCCAGCAGCCGCGGUAAUACGGAAGGUGUAAACGUUACUCGGAAUCACUGGGCGUAAAGGACGCGUAGGCGGGUUGGAAAGUCAGGUGUGAAAUCCUACAGCUUAACUGUAGAACUGCGCUUGAAACUUCUAAUCUAGAGUAUGGGAGGGGGAGAUGGAAUUAGUGGUGUAGGGGUAAAAUCCGUAGAUAUCACUAGGAAUACCUAAAGCGAAGGCGAUCUCCUGGAACAUUACUGACGCUAAGGCGUGAAAGCGUGGGGAGCAAACAGGAUUAGAUACCCCCGUAGUC